Neofelis nebulosa (Clouded leopard) is the source of this 2356-nucleotide long non-coding RNA. RefSeq lists it as uncharacterized. The record is from RefSeq and is a predicted model, not a curated record. NCBI's taxonomy places the organism in Eukaryota, Metazoa, Chordata, Mammalia, Carnivora, Felidae. The transcript has 2 exons.
GGAGAUAUUCUUGGUUGUGAUUAUCUUGGAGAGAUCCUAGAGUACUGACUGGCAUGGCCAGUUAUGGGCAGAGUUUGUCCUUUCCCUCUGAGGCAAAUCCAUCUUGUCCCAGAUCCUCCGGGCCCUCCGGACCCUCCGAGGGCAUUCGUGAUCUUCCUCCUUUACUUACAUUAGCGAGCUCACUGAGUUCCAUUUGUCCCCAGAGGUUCCAGGACAGAAUUUGCAGGUCACUGGGCAAAGGCUGAGGAAGUUGGGUCAAUUUGGCACCCUUCACUGUGCUGCCAAGCACAAUGUCACAUUCUCUUCUACGGAACCAUGCUGGCAGCAAUCCAUUACCAUGCUUGAGACUGAAGACAACAGUGAGCACUGAGAAACAUGGAGCCAAGGAACAGAGAGAGACCCUGAUAGGUAGCAUUUGAGUGCCUAGAUCUAGCCGCACCUGAAGGCCACACAUGGACUAUUCAAUUAUAUGAACCAAUGUGUUCCUUUUUUUGUUUGUUUGUUUUUCUUAGCCAAAUCUGAUUUGGGUUGCUAAUGCUUGUCCCUAAAAAGUAUUUCCUGGCUUAUUAGAAUGAUACUCCCUAUUUUGUAGAGAAUUCAAAUGGUAAUUAAAGGUUAUUAGUGUCACAGAGAAUUUACCUCUUUUCCUUUCAUUUUUUAUUAUGACAUAUGACCUCUGGACAUAAGGGAACAUUCAAAAUCUAUACAUUUUAAUGAGUUAUACAAAAAAGGACAACUAGUAAUCACCUGAGUUGAGAAGGAGAAUGUUGUCAGCUGCUCAGGAAACCCCCAUGGUUACCAACCUGAAGUUUUAUCACUUUUCAGACUUUGGGGAUCAUCAUCUCCUUGCUUUUCUCUAUGGUUUUACUCCGUGUAUGCACCCCCCAAACUGAAUGAACUUUGUAUUAAUGGAACUGUGCUGCAUGUAUCUUGGGGGCAUCCUACAUUUGUCCGCUGACAUCAUGUGGGUGAUGUUCCUCUCUGCUGUAGCUAUUGCCCACCCAUCUUCAAGGCUAUCGGAGCAUUCACCAUAGGACUGUACCACAAUGGAUUUAUCCAUUAGGGAGUAUUUUUGGUACUCGAUGUUUAUAGUAGAGAAUUUAUUGAAGUUGAUCGGUCCAACAGAGCUCAUAUUGGAAACAAACUGAAAUGCUAUGUACCGCUCUUUGUGGAAGCCCGAUCUUGAAUCAGCCCAGCCAUCUGCCGUCCUUGGUCCACAUCCAGACUGCUGAUGGCUGCUGAAGAAAAAUUGCACAGCCGAGUGAAUUCACGUUACUCCAGAUCAUGAUCUUCAGCCCCAGCUGCGCCCUCGUGAGAGCCAGCGAUUCCGCGAGUCUGCCUUCAGCUGCCCUCCCCAGCCCCUCCAGACCCAGCCUCUUCAGGCUGGCGUGGUUUUCUCCCUGCUUUUCUCCACACACUUACAGUAGAUGACCUUGGUUCAUGGAGGUCAUCGGGUGUAACACCGUUCAUUUCUUAACUUGGCAACGAUGAAUCUCCUCUGCAUCCAUACCUACCUCCCCGGCCAUCUCUGGGGCCCAGCUUCUUUUCCGGUAACAGCUGCACCUGUGCCCUCCCCCCUCCUAGGAGCUCCUGUCCUUGGCUCCGUGAGCUCCCUCCGGCCCACACCUACCUCUCACAAUGUCUGUGCAAGGCCUUUGCCUUUGUACCCUUGCCUUCAUUGGCCAGCGUCACGACUGGGUCUUUGAAGUUCUCACCCGGACCACUGCCACAGUCUUACUAACUUGCACGUCCAUCUUUUAGGUCCAGCCAUCUUUCUCUAUAGAAGCUGGAGUGCUAUUUCUGCAAUGCACACCUGAUUAUAUGAAUCUGUAUUGAUUUCCUUGGGCUGCCGCCACAAAUGACCAUAAACUCGGGGUAAGGGGAUGAAGGGGGGUUAUAACUGCAGAAGUUUCUUCUCCCAUUGUUCCGGAGGCCAUGAGCCUAAGAUCACAGUGUCUGCAGGAGGAGUUCCUCUGGAACCUGGUGGGGAGAAUCCAUGCCAUGAGCUCUCUCAGCUUCUGGUAGCUACUAACAAUCCUUGACCUGUAGACUCUGUUUUGUAGAGAAUUCAAGUGCUAAUUGAAUGUUAUUACUGUCACCACUCCAAUUUCGGCCCUGGUCUUUGAAUGGCCUUUUUGGUCUCUGUGUCUCAUGUCCCCCUGUCAUUUCUGUUAUAAGGACACACGUCCUUGGAUUUAGGGCCCACCCCAAAUCUGUGAUGUCCUCAUGUCAAUAUCCUAACUUUAUUAACAUCUACAAAACCCCUUCUUUGGUUAGGUCCUGAGGUACCAAGAGUUACCACUUGUUACCUAUGCAUACAUUUAUAUGUUUUUAAAUUAAAAAAAGUUUUUUUGAA